GACGAACGCUGGCGGCGUGCUUAACACAUGCAAGUCGAACGGAAAGGCCCUGCUUUUGUUGGGUUCUCGAUUGGCGAACGGGUGAGUAACACGUGAGUAACCUGCCCUUGACUUUGGGAUAACUUCAGGAAACUGGGGCUAAUACCGGAUAUGAUCUCCUGCUGCAUGGUGGGGGUUGGAAAGUUUCGGCGGUUGGGGAUGGACUCGCGGCUUAUCAGCUUGUUUGUGGGGUAGUUGCUUACCAAGGCUUUGACGGGUAGCCGGCCUGGGAGGGUGACCGGCCACAUUGGGCCUGAGAUACGGCGCAGACUCCUACGGGAGGCAGCAGUGGGGAAUAUUGCACAAUGGGCGGAAGCCUGAUGCAGCAACGCCGCGUGCGGGAUGACGGCCUUCGGGUUGUAAACCGCUUUCGCCUGUGACGAAGCGUGAGUGACGGUAAUGGGUAAAGAAGCACCGGCUAACUACGUG
RNAcentral lists this ribosomal RNA (468 nucleotides) under uncultured bacterium. Its description in RNAcentral is "partial 16S ribosomal RNA". It matches the Rfam family "Bacterial small subunit ribosomal RNA", at positions 28 to 507 of the family's 1533-position model. The record is from RNAcentral.